This 1458-nucleotide ribosomal RNA is filed under the name metagenome. Its description in RNAcentral is "bacterial SSU rRNA". It matches the Rfam family "Bacterial small subunit ribosomal RNA". The record is from RNAcentral.
GGGGCGUGCUUAAUACAUGCAAGUCGAACGAGAAAGUCACCUUCGGGUGGCGAGUAAAGUGGCAAACGGGUGAGUAACACGUAAGCAACCUACCCAUAAGUUUGGGACAACACUGCUAACGCGGUGCUAAUACCGGAUGUGAACAAUUUUUCGCAUGAUUAAUUGUUUAAAGACUUCGGUCGCUUAUGGAUGGGCUUGCGUACCAUUAGCUUGUUGGUGGGGUAACGGCCUACCAAGGCUUCGAUGGUUAGCCGACCUGAGAGGGUGAUCGGCCACAUUGGGAUUGAGAUACGGCCCAGACUCCUACGGGGGGCAGCAGUAGGGAAUUUUGCGCAAUGGACGAAAGUCUGACGCAGCAACGCCGCGUGAGCGAUGAAUGUCUUCGGAUUGUAAAGCUCUGUUGAGUGGGAAGAAAAGCUUCGGUAUGACGGUACCACUCGAGGAAGCCCCGGCUAAUUACGUGCCAGCAGCCGCGGUAAUACGUAAGGGGCAAGCGUUGUUCGGAAUCACUGGGCGUAAAGGGAGCGCAGGCGGAUAAGUAAGUUAGGAGUUAAAGACGGCGGCUCAACCGUCGACCUGCUCUUAAUACUGCUUGUCUUGAGUACAGAAGAGGAAGACGGAAUUCCAGGUGUAGCGGUGGAAUGCGUAGAUAUCUGGAAGAACACCAGUUGCGUAGGCGGUCUUCUGGUCUGAUACUGACGCUCAUGCUCGAAAGCUAGGGGAGCAAACAGGAUUAGAUACCCUGGUAGUCCUAGCCGUAAACGAUGGACACUAGUUGUCGGAGGAGUCAAUCCUUUCGGUGACGAAGCUAACGCAUUAAGUGUCCCGCCUGGGGAGUACGCUCGCAAGGGUGAAACUCAAAGGAAUUGACGGGGGCCCGCACAAGCGGUGGAGCAUGUGCUUUAAUUCGAUGCAACGCGAAGAACCUACCUGGGUUUGACAUGGGGGUGCAACUCUUUGGAGACAGAGAGCCUUCCCUCGGGAACACCCUACACAGGUGCUGCAUGGUUGUCGUCAGCUCGUGUCGUGAGAUGUUGGGUUAAGUCCCGCAACGAGCGCAACCCUCGCCCUUAGUUGCCAUCAGGUCAAGCUGGGAACUCUAGGGGGACUGCUUGGUAUAACCAGGAGGAAGGUGGGGAUGACGUCAAAUCAUCAUGGCCCUUACGCCCAGGGCUAGACACGUGCUACAAUGGCCAGUACAGCGGGAUGCUACACUGCAAGGUGACGCUAAUCCCUUAAAACUGGUCUCAGUUCGGAUUGGAGUCUGCAACUCGACUCCAUGAAGGUGGAAUCGCUAGUAAUCGCGGAUCAGCAUGCCGCGGUGAAUACGUUCCCGGGCCUUGUACACACCGCCCGUCAAGCCAUGAAAGACGGUAGUGCCCAACGUCGUUCCUCUAACCGCAAGGAAGAGUGCGCCUAAGGUAAGACCGUUGAUUGGGGCUAAGUCGGAACAAGGUA